GUCCAGCUGACGAGUCCCUAAUAGGACGAAACGCGCGUUCUGAAU
This 45-nucleotide non-coding RNA is filed under the name Schistosoma mansoni. The record is from RNAcentral. Lineage: Eukaryota; Metazoa; Platyhelminthes; Trematoda; Strigeidida; Schistosomatidae.